RNAcentral lists this ribosomal RNA (253 nucleotides) under uncultured bacterium. Its description in RNAcentral is "partial 16S ribosomal RNA". It matches the Rfam family "Bacterial small subunit ribosomal RNA", at positions 524 to 776 of the family's 1533-position model. The record is from RNAcentral.
UACGUAGGGAGCAAGCGUUGUCCGGAAUCAUUGGGCGUAAAGCGCGCGUAGGUGGCCCCAUAAGUCCGCUGUGAAAGUCAAAGGCUCAACCUUUAAAAGCCGGUGGAUACUGCGGGACUAGAGUACGGAAGAGGCGAGUGGAAUUCCUGGUGUAGCGGUGGAAUGCGCAGAUAUCAGGAGGAACACCAAUAGCGAAGGCAGCUCGCUGGGACGUUACUGACACUGAGGCGCGAAAGCGUGGGGAGCGAACAGG